This is a non-coding RNA of Ylistrum balloti, 957 nucleotides long. NCBI's taxonomy places the organism in Eukaryota, Metazoa, Mollusca, Bivalvia, Pectinida, Pectinidae. The record is from the annotation of a RefSeq genome assembly.
UGGUAGUUUGGUUCUGGUUACCUUUGCUUAGCUAUUAAUUUGGUCAAUUAACACAUGGUAGUUUAUGCAGUGAAUGCGUAUACCGGUUCUUUUUCAUUAAUUAGUGUUUGUUGCUUUUUUUUGGAGAAGUUUACGUUUGAACAAUCAGAGGAAUUCGAGGACUGUUAAUAAUUUAUUUCAUACCUCCAGUGGAUAGAUUUUAACCAUGAGCGCCAGCUUGAUUAAGCUAUUGUUGAUUAGAGGAGUCCAACCAGGUGCCAGCAGUCGCGGUUAGACCUGAGUAACUCAAGUUAAGUGGUAAAGUGCAAAAGGUGGUUAGACGGCCUGCUCUAUUGUGGAGAGUUAUUAUUAAAAAUUAGGGAGCCUACCCCGAGGGGAAGGGGUGUAAUCCGGGUCUCCCUCGGAGGAAGGGGGAAAUGUUUCCUUUGGGCUGAGGCCACGGAACCGGGAAGCCGAAGACAUGGAUUUGAGACCCAUUUAUUACCGACGCAAACUUUGCUUUUCAGGCAGCUGCUUGGGGACUACGAGCGUGUGCUUAAAACUCAAAGAACUUGGCGGCUUGUUAACUACCUAGGGGAAUAUGUGCCUUAAUCCGAUGAUCCCCGUCGCAUCUUACUAGGCCUUGAAAAAGUGCAGCUGGUGUAUUGCCGUUGUCAGCUUGUUGUUCGAGCAAGGAGUAACAGGCUCAAUGGAGCCGUAGCGAUUGUAUCGUUGGUGUCCGUGAAUUCAGGUCGUAAUACCGCCCACGGCCUAAGGGAGUAGGUGUUACAAUUUAGAUUUAAAAAUACGGAUCUUUAUUUUGAAAUAUUAGGGUGAAGGUGAACUUAGGAGUAAGGGGGAAUUAAUAUGUCUCCCUGAACAUGAAUCUGGCUUGUGUACAAACUGCCCGUCGCUCUCGCCGAGAGGUGAGAUAAGUCGUAACAAGGUAGGGGUACUGGAAGGUGCGCCCUGAUUAAG